This 304-nucleotide ribosomal RNA is filed under the name uncultured bacterium. RNAcentral describes it as "partial 16S ribosomal RNA". It matches the Rfam family "Bacterial small subunit ribosomal RNA", at positions 509 to 807 of the family's 1533-position model. The record is from RNAcentral.
CAGCAGCCGCCACGGGAAAACGGAGGGUGCAAGCGUUAUCCGGAUUUAUUGGGUUUAAAGGGUCCGUAGGCGGAUCUGUAAGUCAGUGGUGAAAUCUCACAGCUUAACUGUGAAACUGCCAUUGAUACUGCAGGUCUUGAGUAAAUUUGAAGUGGCUGGAAUAAGUAGUGUAGCGGUGAAAUGCAUAGAUAUUACUUAGAACACCAAUUGCGAAGGCAGGUCACUAAGAUUUAACUGACGCUGAUGGACGAAAGCGUGGGGAGCGAACAGGAUUAGAUACCCGAGUAGUCCCUGUCUCUUAUAC